UAAGAAAAUUCAAAGGAAGCACAUUGAAAAAUAUAUAGAAGAAUAAAAAUAGGUAAACUAGAUAUUCAAAUAGUUGUCAAAAACUAGAGAAUACAAUUAAACCGAUUAAUAAUUGAGAUAAUGUUAAACAUAUUAAUUAUUAAAAUCUAAGUAUCCAUAUAUAAGUAAAGUAGUAUAUGAGAAGGGAACGUGGGGAACUGAAACAUCUUAGUACCCACAGGAAAAGAAAGAGAAAUCGAUUCCUAGAGUAGUGGCGAGCGAAAUAGGAAGAGCCUAAACCAUGAGUAGUAAUACACAUGGGGUUCGGACCACGAUAUAUUAUCAAUAAUUCUAAUAGAAAUGUUUUGGAAAAGCAUACCAUAGACGGUGAAAGUCCAGUAUAUGAAAGAAAAGUUGAGAUUAGUGGUAUCCAGAGUAGUACGAGACACGAGAAAUCUCGUAUGAAUAAGCGGGGACCAUCCCGUAAGGCUAAAUACUACUUGGUGACCGAUAGUGAACUAGUACCGUGAGGGAAAGGUGAAAAGAACCCCGGGAGGGGAGUGAAAUAGAACAUGAAACCCUAUGUUUACAAGCAGACAAAGCACUUUAUAUGUGCGAUGUCGUACUUUUUGUAGAACGGUCCAGCGAGUUAUUGUGUAUGGCGAGGUUAAGUAUUACGUAAGGUACGGAGCCGAAGCGAAAGCGAGUCUGAAAAGGGCGAUAUAAGUCAUGCAUAAUAGACCCGAAACUGAGUGACCUAUCCAUGAGCAGGAUGAAGCUAGAGUAAAAUCUAGUGGAGGUCCGAACUGAUUGUCGUUAAAAAGGCACCGGAUGACUUGUGGAUAGCGGAGAAAUUCCAAUCGAACUCAGAGAUAGCUGGUUCUCCUCGAAAUAGCUUUAGGGCUAGCCUUGAGGGAAUGCAUAUGGGGGUAGAGCACUGAAUGAGGUAGGGGCCUAACCAGGUUACCAAACUCUAUCAAACUCCGAAUACCAUAUGUAAAUACUCAGGAGUCAGACUGCGGGAGCUAAGUUCCGUGGUCAAAAGGAAAACAGUCCAGAUCGUCAAUUAAGGUCCCAAAGAUAUAGCUAAGUGGAAAACGAUGUGAUUUUGCAUAAACAACCAGGAUGUUGGCUCAGAAGCAGCCAUUCAUUCAAAGAGUGCGUAAUAGCUCACUGGUCGAGUGAAGUUGCGCGGAAAAUUACCGGGGCUAAGCUAUACACCGAAAUUGCGGAUUUACAUUUGAAAGAUAAUGUGAGUGGUAGAGGAGCAUUCUGUAGUAGGAAGAAGCAUGACCGUAAGGACAUGUGGACGAAGCAGAAGAGAGAAUGCUGGAAUAAGUAGCGAGAGGAUGGUGAGAAUCCAUCCCGUCGAAAAUCUAAGGUUUCCCAGGGAAGGUUCGUCCGCCUGGGGUAAGUCGGGACCUAAGGAGAGGCCGAAAGGCGUAUCUGAUGGAUAGCAGGUUGAAAUUCCUGCACUACGAAUAUACUUAAAAGAUUCAAGGGACGCAGAAGUGGAAGAUAACCAAGUAAGAGGAAAAGCUUGGCUCGCAAGAGGGAGUGAAAAUUAAAAGUAACGAAGUAUCAAGAAGCACGCUGACGAGAAAAGCUUGAAGAUAUUGUAUAUAAGUACCCGUACCGCAAACCGACACAGGUAGAUGAGGAGAGGAUCCUAAGACGAGCGGGAGAAGCAUUGUUAAGGAACUCGGCAAAUUAACCCCGUAACUUCGGAAUAAGGGGUGCUGAUGUAACAGUCAGUCGCAGAGAAAAGGCCCAAGCAACUGUUUAACAAAAACAUAGGUUUCUGCUAAAUCGAAAGAUGAAGUAUAGGAGCUGACGCCUGCCCAGUGCUGGAAGGUUAAGGGAAAGAGUUAGGGUUAAACCGAAGCUUAGAACUGAAGCCCCAGUGAACGGCGGCCGUAACUAUAACGGUCCUAAGGUAGCGAAAUUCCUUGUCAGGUAAGUUCUGACCCGCACGAAAGGCGUAAUGAUUUGUACUGGGUUUCGAUGAUUUAUGUACAGGAUAGUUGGGAGACUAUGAAAGAGAGGCGUCAGCUUCUCCGGAGUCGUUGUUGGGAUACCAACCUUAAGUUAUUGAAAUUCUAACUUGUAAUCGUAAACCGGUUAGAGGACAAUGUCAGACGGGCAGUUUGACUGGGGCGGUCGCCUCCUAAAGAGUAACGGAGGCGCCCAAAGGUUUCCUCAGCGCGGACAGAAAUCGCGCGAAAGAGUGCAAAGGCAGAAGGAAGCUUAACUGAGAGACAGACAUGUCGACCAGAUACGAAAGUAGGGCUUAGUGAUCCGGUGGUUGUAAAUGGAAAUGCCAUCGCUCAACGGACAAAAGUUACCCUGGGGAUAACAGGCUUAUCUCCCCCAAGAGUUCACAUCGACGGGGAGGUUUGGCACCUCGAUGU
RNAcentral lists this ribosomal RNA (2390 nucleotides) under human gut metagenome. RNAcentral describes it as "bacterial LSU rRNA". It matches the Rfam family "Bacterial large subunit ribosomal RNA", at positions 48 to 2532 of the family's 2925-position model. The record is from RNAcentral.